GAGUUUGAUCUUGGCUCAGAUUGAACGCUGGCGGCAGGCCUAACACAUGCAAGUCGAGCGGUAGAGAGAAGCUUGCUUCUCUUGAGAGCGGCGGACGGGUGAGUAAUGCCUAGGAAUCUGCCUGGUAGUGGGGGAUAACGCUCGGAAACGGACGCUAAUACCGCAUACGUCCUACGGGAGAAAGCAGGGGACCUUCGGGCCUUGCGCUAUCAGAUGAGCCUAGGUCGGAUUAGCUAGUUGGUGAGGUAAUGGCUCACCAAGGCGACGAUCCGUAACUGGUCUGAGAGGAUGAUCAGUCACACUGGAACUGAGACACGGUCCAGACUCCUACGGGAGGCAGCAGUGGGGAAUAUUGGACAAUGGGCGAAAGCCUGAUCCAGCCAUGCCGCGUGUGUGAAGAAGGUCUUCGGAUUGUAAAAGCACUUUAAGUUGGGAGGAAGGGCAGUAAAUUAAUACUUUGCUGUUUUGACGUUACCGACAGAAUAAGCACCGGCUAACUCUGUGCCAGCCGCCGG
This 515-nucleotide ribosomal RNA is filed under the name uncultured bacterium. RNAcentral describes it as "bacterial SSU rRNA". It matches the Rfam family "Bacterial small subunit ribosomal RNA", at positions 9 to 518 of the family's 1533-position model. The record is from RNAcentral.